UUAACAAAAACAUGUCUUUUUGAGAAUAAUUUAAAGUCUAAUCUGCCCACUGAAUUUUAAAUGGCCGCGGUACUUUGACCGUGCAAAGGUAGCAUAAUAAUUAGUUUUUUAAUUGAAAGCUGGAAUGAACGAUUGGACGAGGGAAUGACUGUCUCAGUUUAAUUUUUAUUAGAAUUUAAUUUUUGAGUAAAAAAGCUUAAAUUUAUUUGAAAGACGAGAAGACCCUAUAGAGUUUUAUAAAUUAUUAAAUGAAUUUUUUAUUAGAAUUUUUUUAGUUUUAUUUUUUAAUUUAUUUUGUUGGGGUGAUAGAAAAAUUUUUUUAACUUUUUUUAUUUAUGUAUAUAGAUAAGUAUGUUUAUGAUCCAAUGUUUUUGAUUAUAAGAUUAAAUUACCUUAGGGAUAACAGCGUAAUAUUUUUUUAGAGUUCAUAUUAAAAGAAAUGAUUGCGACCUCGAUGUUGGAUUAAAAUGAAUUUUUGGUGUAGAAGCUUGAUUGAUUAGGUCUGUUCGACCUUUAAAAUUUUACAUGAUCUGAGUU
This 537-nucleotide ribosomal RNA is filed under the name Nosodendron marginatum. Its description in RNAcentral is "partial 16S ribosomal RNA". The stretch from base 399 to 537 matches the Rfam family "Bacterial large subunit ribosomal RNA", at positions 2473 to 2611 of the family's 2925-position model. Lineage: Eukaryota; Metazoa; Arthropoda; Insecta; Coleoptera; Nosodendridae. The record is from RNAcentral.